AGGCGAUGACUUGGUUACGCUUGGCUAUCAGAAGCACAGCUGCGAGAGGGUCUAAAAGAGGAAGACAAACAAACAAAAAAAAGAGCAGCAUGUGUCUUGGAGUCGUUCAGCAGCUGGAAACCCGGCAGACAUUUGCACUCGGCCCCGAACGGUCCUUGAAUGCAGAUGUCGCUGCAGCCGCCGUUGUUCAAAAAUGGAUGGCCGGACAGAUGAUGCAUUUCAAACGGCAGCAAAGCAAAACUCACUGCAGAGAGGCGACUCAUCAGCUCCAUUGGGGCAGUCC
This is a long non-coding RNA of Hippocampus comes (tiger tail seahorse), 283 nucleotides long. RefSeq lists it as uncharacterized. Lineage: Eukaryota; Metazoa; Chordata; Actinopteri; Syngnathiformes; Syngnathidae. The transcript is spliced from 3 exons. The record is from RefSeq and is a predicted model, not a curated record.